This 495-nucleotide ribosomal RNA is filed under the name uncultured bacterium. Its description in RNAcentral is "partial 16S ribosomal RNA". It matches the Rfam family "Bacterial small subunit ribosomal RNA", at positions 28 to 507 of the family's 1533-position model. The record is from RNAcentral.
GAUGAACGCUGGCGGCGUGCCUAAUACAUGCAAGUAGAACGCUGAAGGAGGAGCUUGCUCUUCUGGAUGAGUUGCGAACGGGUGAGUAACGCGUAGGUAACCUGCCUGGUAGCGGGGGAUAACUAUUGGAAACGAUAGCUAAUACCGCAUGACAACAGUUAUUGCAUGAUAACUGUUUAAAAGGGGCAACUGCUCCACUACCAGAUGGACCUGCGUUGUAUUAGCUAGUUGGUGAGGUAACGGCUCACCAAGGCGACGAUACAUAGCCGACCUGAGAGGGGGAUCGGCCACCCUGGGACUGAGACACGGCCCAGACUCCUACGGGAGGCAGCAGUAGGGAAUCUUCGGCAAUAGACGGAAGUCUGACCGAGCAACGCCGCGUGAGUGAAGAAGGUUGUCGGAUCGUAAAGCUCUGUUGUAAGAGAAGAACGAGUGUGAGAGUGGAAAGUUCACACUGUGACGGUAUCUUACCAGAAAGGGACGGCUAACUACGUG